Prionailurus viverrinus (fishing cat) is the source of this 293-nucleotide long non-coding RNA. RefSeq lists it as uncharacterized. The transcript is spliced from 3 exons. NCBI's taxonomy places the organism in Eukaryota, Metazoa, Chordata, Mammalia, Carnivora, Felidae. The record is from RefSeq and is a predicted model, not a curated record.
CUUCCUGGGGCACUCGGUCUGGCAGGACUUCCUCUUCUGGGGAGUGACUGGGCUGCAGACCUCCUAUGCGGUGGGGAGUCACAAGGCCAGGAAGACCCCUGGGCUGCCACGCACACUGGCCGUCUGCUGACCACUGACUCUGCUGGCCUCUGCCUGCCCUGGAGUGGCUCACGCUUACAGGGGAGCUUCCUGGCAGGGCAGCCAGGAGCAAGGGAGAGAACAGCGUAGGUGCUGACUAAGGCCUGGCUUCUCAGGCAUGAAGUUCCGUACGUCAACAUGGAUGAACUUUGAAC